This is a long non-coding RNA of Mauremys reevesii (Reeves's turtle), 1216 nucleotides long. RefSeq lists it as uncharacterized. Lineage: Eukaryota; Metazoa; Chordata; Testudines; Geoemydidae. The record is from RefSeq and is a predicted model, not a curated record. The transcript has 3 exons.
GCUCACUGUAAAGUAUCCAUCUCAGGGCAUGCCUAUACCACAGCACUACAUGGGUGCAGCUGCACUGAUGCAACUGUGACGUUGUAGCACAUCUGAUGAAGAUGCGCUAUGCUGACGAGAGCGCUCUCCCAUCGCAUAAUUACUCCAUAUUGGCAAGAAGCGGAAGUUAUGUCGGCGAGAGACACUCUCCCCCAAACAUAGCACUGCUGCUCUUCAAAUGCUACCUUUCCAACAGAGAGCUGAAACCAGGGGCAUCUCUGUGCUCUGCUAGUACCCCAAGCUCUUUAAAAAGAAAAAGAAGAUACCUUCCAAAGGAAAUGAAGACAGAUCAAUAUCAAGACAUUGGGUGCAAUUUGAUAGUCUCUCUUUACUCUUAAUGGAGAUAUAAAUAUCUGUUUUAAGUAAACCUAAGAUAGGCCUGGAACAUAUGAGUGAGUCAUAGGAUUUGAGCAGAAAGCAUAUGCUGAGACUGGGGUAAAUAAAAUAUGUAGGGCCUGGAUCUCUGCUGCCUUGCACCUUGUGUAGACAUCCAAAUGUGUGCAAAAUAAGUAUAAAAUAUUACUAACUCAGAAUGGUAACAUUGUAUACAACACAGGUGCAAAUGACUGCAGUGGUGAACCAGACCUUCAUAUGGAAAAACCCACAAAUAAGCCAUUACUACUGCAUCUUAGUUUCCUGAAAUGAAACUGUUGAUGUUGCAUAUGCAGUUAAAACAAUAGAUUGGAUUAUUUAUCAUUGUAUUAUCUUUCAAAUCAGCUCCAAGGCCAAAUUCUAAGUGGUGCUGUGCCCCUGACUUCUGAUAGGGUGAUAUGCGAAGCGCCUUCUUUGAGUUGUUGAGUGUCCUCUUUUGUUGACUUUUAUUGACUUCCCCACUGAAGUCAAUGGGAGUAGUGGGUGCUCAGCGCCUUUGAAAAGUUCAGAUGCCUAAAUAUGAAUGUCAGUGACUAAUUUUCAGUAUCCUGAGUGCUCUUCUAUCCAUGAUACAUAUCUAUUUGUGUCAUAUCUGCUCAUCUAGGGCUGACAGAAUACGGUGUAACGGUACUAGCUUUAAACUUUCAUUUCUUAUUUUCUUUGUUAUGGGUUAAAUCCUAUCAUCAUCCAGUACUUAGGGUCAGGCCCUUAUCCUAUCAAAGUUAACAGAAACAUUCCAUUGAUUUAUAUGGAACAGGUGCUUAGGCAAAACUCCAGGAGAUCGUCUGUACAAAUCAAUAAGGAC